Molecule: ribosomal RNA, 497 nt
Filed under: uncultured bacterium
Lineage: Bacteria
Description: partial 16S ribosomal RNA
Rfam family: Bacterial small subunit ribosomal RNA
Source: RNAcentral
GAUGAACGCUGGCGGCGUGCCUAAUACAUGCAAGUCGAGCGAACAGAUGAGGAGCUUGCUCCUCUGACGUUAGCGGCGGACGGGCGAGUAACACGUGGAUAACCUACCUAUAAGACUGGGAUAACUUCGGGAAACCGGAGCUAAUACCGGAUAAUAUAUUGAACCGCAUGGUUCAAUAGUGAAAGACGGUUUUGCUGUCACUUAUAGAUGGAUCCGCGCCGCAUUAGCUAGUUGGUAAGGUAACGGCUUACCAAGGCAACGAUGCGUAGCCGACCUGAGAGGGUGAGAGGACACAAGGAGACUGAACCAGGGUACAACCACCUGCGGGAGGAGCAAGUGGGGAAUUUUCGGAAAGGGGAGAAAGCCGGACGGAGCAACGCCGGGGGAGGAAUAAAGGUUUUCGGAUCGAAAAAUUUUUUUAUUGGGAAAAAACAAAUGUGAAAGUAACAAUGCACGUCUUGAGGUUACCUAAUAGGAAAGCCAGGGCUAACUACGUA